GCUGGUUUGGCUCAGUGGAUAGAGCAUCAGCCUGUGAACUGAAUGGUACUGGGUUCAACUCCAGUCAAGGGCA
Non-coding RNA from Myotis davidii, 73 nucleotides. Lineage: Eukaryota; Metazoa; Chordata; Mammalia; Chiroptera; Vespertilionidae. The record is from Rfam.